Non-coding RNA from Schizosaccharomyces pombe (fission yeast), 269 nucleotides. The record is from the annotation of a GenBank genome assembly. NCBI's taxonomy places the organism in Eukaryota, Fungi, Ascomycota, Schizosaccharomycetes, Schizosaccharomycetales, Schizosaccharomycetaceae.
AGCGAGUCUCUUUUCGGAGGAGAAUCGCUAACGUUGGAAAUUGUCAAGUAAAGAAUUAACAAACUGAAUAUCAAAGCCAAAGCUUUAACCACUCGUCGAACAUGACGACUACCAAAGCCACUUCGACUAAUCAAACCCUUGUCCUCAAAACUAAAAUCAUUCAUUUAGGUAGUAAUUGAUCUUCAAAAAGUAGAAUAGUAUAUAUAUAUAUAUAUCCGUAAAGAAUGACCAAGCGUGUUAAAGGAUCAAGGAAGAUAUCAGAAAAGUAA